UACGAAGGGGGCUAGCGUUGCUCGGAAUCACUGGGCGUAAAGGGUGCGUAGGCGGGUUUUUAAGUCAGGGGUGAAAUCCUGGAGCUCAACUCCAGAACUGCCUUUGAUACUGAAGAUCUUGAGUUCGGGAGAGGUGAGUGGAACUGCGAGUGUAGAGGUGAAAUUCGUAGAUAUUCGCAAGAACACCAGUGGCGAAGGCGGUUGCCUGGAGCUUUGCUGACGCUGAGGCGCGAAAGCGUGGGGAGCGAUCCGG
RNAcentral lists this ribosomal RNA (253 nucleotides) under uncultured bacterium. RNAcentral's name for it is "partial 16S ribosomal RNA". It matches the Rfam family "Bacterial small subunit ribosomal RNA", at positions 524 to 776 of the family's 1533-position model. The record is from RNAcentral.